AAGCUGGUGGAAUGACUGUACCAUUUACUGGUUCACUGAAGGUCUUAACCUCCACAGCUUUGACAAAGAGGCCAUGUGUCCCAUGCUGAGAAGAUUCAAGGCUGAAAGUGGAAGUGGAGCUUCCUGUUUGGUGGAAGAUGACUCCAGUGGCUGCAUCAGGAAACAGAGGAGCAUAAGACGGAAGGAAAAACCUUCCAUCAAUGUGUGA
This 208-nucleotide long non-coding RNA is filed under the name Pan paniscus (pygmy chimpanzee). Its description in RNAcentral is "lncRNA (ENSPPAG00000044355.1)". Lineage: Eukaryota; Metazoa; Chordata; Mammalia; Primates; Hominidae. The record is from RNAcentral.